UCUUCCCUCUCUCUCCAGGCUUAACACAUGCAAGUCGCGGGGCAGCAUGGGGGUUGCUUGCACUCCCCGAUGGCGACCGGCGCACGGGUGAGUAACGCGUAUCCAACCUGCCCUUCACCACGGGAUAACCCGGCGAAAGUCGGACUAAUACCGUAUGUUGUCCAUUGACGGCAUCCGAUUUGGACGAAAGGUUUGGCGGUGAAGGAUGGGGAUGCGUCCGAUUAGCUGGACGGCGGGGUGACGGCCCACCGUGGCGACGAUCGGUAGGGGUUCUGAGAGGAAGGUCCCCCACACUGGAACUGAGACACGGUCCAGACUCGUACGGGAGGCAGCAGUGAGGAAUAUUGGUCAAUGGGCGUAAGCCUGAACCAGCCAAGUAGCGUGCAGGAUGACGGCCCUAUGGGUUGUAAACUGCUUUUAUGCGGGGAUAAAGUGGCCCACGUGUGGGUUUUUGCAGGUACCGCAUGAAUAAGGACCGGCUAAUUCCGUG
RNAcentral lists this ribosomal RNA (490 nucleotides) under uncultured bacterium. RNAcentral describes it as "partial 16S ribosomal RNA". It matches the Rfam family "Bacterial small subunit ribosomal RNA", at positions 36 to 507 of the family's 1533-position model. The record is from RNAcentral.